UCUCCGUAGGUGAACCUGCGGAGGGAUCAUUACAGAGUUCUCGCCCUCGCGGGUAGAUCUCCCACCCACUGUUAUCGUUACUGUGUUGCUUUGGCGGGCCGCCGGGCCCCGCUCGGUCGCCGGCUCCGGCUGGCGCGCGCCCGCCAGAGGCCCAGCAAACUCUGAAUGUUAGUGUCGUCUGAGUACUAUAUAAUAGUUAAAACUUUCAACAACGGAUCUCUUGGUUCUG
This 229-nucleotide unclassified non-coding RNA is filed under the name plant metagenome. RNAcentral's name for it is "partial contains small subunit ribosomal RNA, internal transcribed spacer 1, and 5.8S ribosomal RNA". The record is from RNAcentral.